Molecule: non-coding RNA, 99 nt
Organism: Acanthosepion pharaonis
Lineage: Eukaryota; Metazoa; Mollusca; Cephalopoda; Sepiida; Sepiidae
Source: the annotation of a GenBank genome assembly
GUUGAAACACUGGUUCCCGUACGAUCACUGUAGUUAAGCAACGUUGGUCUUGGUCAGUAUCUAGAUGUGUGACCGCUUGGGAAUACCAGGUGCUGUCAG